RNAcentral lists this ribosomal RNA (530 nucleotides) under uncultured bacterium. Its description in RNAcentral is "bacterial SSU rRNA". It matches the Rfam family "Bacterial small subunit ribosomal RNA", at positions 777 to 1304 of the family's 1533-position model. The record is from RNAcentral.
AAUAGAUACCCCGGUAGUCCACGCCGUAAACGAUGAGUGCUAAGUGUUAGAGGGUUUCCGCCCGUUUAGUGCUGCAGCUAACGCAUUAAGCACUCCGCCUGGGGAGUACGGUCGCAAGACUGAAACUCAAAGGAAUUGACGGGGGCCCGCACAAGCGGUGGAGCAUGUGGUUUAAUUCGAAGCAACGCGAAGAACCUUACCAGGUCUUGACAUCCUCUGACAACUCUAGAGAUAGAGUGUUCCCCUUCGGGGGACAGAGUGACAGGUGGUGCAUGGUUGUCGUCAGCUCGUGUCGUGAGAUGUUGGGUUAAGUCCCGCAACGAGCGCGACCCUUGAUCUUAGUUGCCAGCAUUUAGUUGGGCACUCUAAGGUGACUGCCGGUGACAAACCGGAGGAAGGUGGGGAUGACGUCAAAUCAUCAUGCCCCUUAUGACCUGGGCUACACACGUGCUACAAUGGAUGGUACAAAGGGCUGCAAGACCGCGAGGUCAAGCCAAUCCCAUAAAACCAUUCUCAGUUCGGAUUGUAGG